This 981-nucleotide ribosomal RNA is filed under the name uncultured euryarchaeote. Its description in RNAcentral is "bacterial SSU rRNA". It matches the Rfam family "Archaeal small subunit ribosomal RNA", at positions 80 to 1067 of the family's 1478-position model. Lineage: Archaea; Methanobacteriati; Methanobacteriota. The record is from RNAcentral.
GGCGAACUGCUCAGUAACAUGUAGCUAACCUGCCCUUGGGUCAAGGAUAACCUCGGGAAACUGAGGCUAAAACUUGAUAGGAGAUUUACCCUGGAAAGAUUUAUCUCUUAAAUUCGUGCCUAAGGAUGGGGCUGCACUGGAUUAGGUUGUUGGCGGGGUAAUAGCCCACCAAGCCAAAGAUCCAUAAGGGCUCUUAGCGGAGAAGCCCUGAGAGGGAAUCUGAGAUACUAUUCCCACUCCUACGGGAGGCAGCAGGUAGGAAUAUUUUGCAAUGCACGAAAGUGUGACAAAUUGAGUCAGAGUGUUUUUCAUAUGAAAAACUUUUAUGAAAUGUAAAAAGUUUCACGAAUAAGGACUGGGUAAGACUGGUGCCAGCCGCCGCGGUAAUACCAGCGGUCCAAGUCGCAGCCAUUAUUAUUGGGUCUAAAACAUCCGUAGCUUGCUUGAAAAGUUCCUUGUGAAAUUUUAUAUCUCAAGUAUAAAACGUGCAAGGAAUACUAUCUUGCUAGAGACUGGAAGACGUAACGAGUAUGUUCGAAGUAGCGGUAAAAUGUUUUAAUCUUGAACAGACUUACAAUAGCGAAGGCACGUUACGAGGACAGUUCUGACAGUGAGGGAUGAAGGCUAGGGGCGCAAAACGGAUUAGAUACCCGUGUAGUCCUAGCAGUAAACACUGCACACUAAACAUUGGGACCUCCUCGAGAGGUUUCAGUGCUGCAGGGAAGCCGAAGAGUGUGCUACCUGGGAAGUAUAGUCGCAAGGCCGAAACUUAAAGGAAUUGGCGGGGAGACACUACAACAGGUGACGCGUGCGGUUCAAUUAGAUUAUACACCGUGAACCUCACCAGGAGCGACAGCAGAAUGAAGGUCAGUCUAAAGGGCUUACCUGACACGCUGAGAGGAGUUGCAUGGCCGACGUCAGCCUGUGCUGUGAAGUGACCUGUUAAAUCAGGUAACAGGCAAGACCCACGUGCAUAUUUAC